This 2903-nucleotide ribosomal RNA is filed under the name Escherichia coli KTE225. RNAcentral describes it as "bacterial LSU rRNA". It matches the Rfam family "Bacterial large subunit ribosomal RNA". Lineage: Bacteria; Pseudomonadati; Pseudomonadota; Gammaproteobacteria; Enterobacterales; Enterobacteriaceae. The record is from RNAcentral.
UUAAGCGACUAAGCGUACACGGUGGAUGCCCUGGCAGUCAGAGGCGAUGAAGGACGUGCUAAUCUGCGAUAAGCGUCGGUAAGGUGAUAUGAACCGUUAUAACCGGCGAUUUCCGAAUGGGGAAACCCAGUGUGAUUCGUCACACUAUCAUUAACUGAAUCCAUAGGUUAAUGAGGCGAACCGGGGGAACUGAAACAUCUAAGUACCCCGAGGAAAAGAAAUCAACCGAGAUUCCCCCAGUAGCGGCGAGCGAACGGGGAGCAGCCCAGAGCCUGAAUCAGUGUGUGUGUUAGUGGAAGCGUCUGGAAAGGCGCGCGAUACAGGGUGACAGCCCCGUACACAAAAAUGCACAUACUGUGAGCUCGAUGAGUAGGGCGGGACACGUGGUAUCCUGUCUGAAUAUGGGGGGACCAUCCUCCAAGGCUAAAUACUCCUGACUGACCGAUAGUGAACCAGUACCGUGAGGGAAAGGCGAAAAGAACCCCGGCGAGGGGAGUGAAAAAGAACCUGAAACCGUGUACGUACAAGCAGUGGGAGCCUCUUAAUGGGGUGACUGCGUACCUUUUGUAUAAUGGGUCAGCGACUUAUAUUCUGUAGCAAGGUUAACCGAAUAGGGGAGCCGAAGGGAAACCGAGUCUUAACUGGGCGUUAAGUUGCAGGGUAUAGACCCGAAACCCGGUGAUCUAGCCAUGGGCAGGUUGAAGGUUGGGUAACACUAACUGGAGGACCGAACCGACUAAUGUUGAAAAAUUAGCGGAUGACUUGUGGCUGGGGGUGAAAGGCCAAUCAAACCGGGAGAUAGCUGGUUCUCCCCGAAAGCUAUUUAGGUAGCGCCUCGUGAAUUCAUCUCCGGGGGUAGAGCACUGUUUCGGCAAGGGGGUCAUCCCGACUUACCAACCCGAUGCAAACUGCGAAUACCGGAGAAUGUUAUCACGGGAGACACACGGCGGGUGCUAACGUCCGUCGUGAAGAGGGAAACAACCCAGACCGCCAGCUAAGGUCCCAAAGUCAUGGUUAAGUGGGAAACGAUGUGGGAAGGCCCAGACAGCCAGGAUGUUGGCUUAGAAGCAGCCAUCAUUUAAAGAAAGCGUAAUAGCUCACUGGUCGAGUCGGCCUGCGCGGAAGAUGUAACGGGGCUAAACCAUGCACCGAAGCUGCGGCAGCGACGCUUAUGCGUUGUUGGGUAGGGGAGCGUUCUGUAAGCCUGCGAAGGUGUGCUGUGAGGCAUGCUGGAGGUAUCAGAAGUGCGAAUGCUGACAUAAGUAACGAUAAAGCGGGUGAAAAGCCCGCUCGCCGGAAGACCAAGGGUUCCUGUCCAACGUUAAUCGGGGCAGGGUGAGUCGACCCCUAAGGCGAGGCCGAAAGGCGUAGUCGAUGGGAAACAGGUUAAUAUUCCUGUACUUGGUGUUACUGCGAAGGGGGGACGGAGAAGGCUAUGUUGGCCGGGCGACGGUUGUCCCGGUUUAAGCGUGUAGGCUGGUUUUCCAGGCAAAUCCGGAAAAUCAAGGCUGAGGCGUGAUGACGAGGCACUACGGUGCUGAAGCAACAAAUGCCCUGCUUCCAGGAAAAGCCUCUAAGCAUCAGGUAACAUCAAAUCGUACCCCAAACCGACACAGGUGGUCAGGUAGAGAAUACCAAGGCGCUUGAGAGAACUCGGGUGAAGGAACUAGGCAAAAUGGUGCCGUAACUUCGGGAGAAGGCACGCUGAUACGUAGGUGAAGCGACUUGCUCGUGGAGCUGAAAUCAGUCGAAGAUACCAGCUGGCUGCAACUGUUUAUUAAAAACACAGCACUGUGCAAACACGAAAGUGGACGUAUACGGUGUGACGCCUGCCCGGUGCCGGAAGGUUAAUUGAUGGGGUUAGCGGUAACGCGAAGCUCUUGAUCGAAGCCCCGGUAAACGGCGGCCGUAACUAUAACGGUCCUAAGGUAGCGAAAUUCCUUGUCGGGUAAGUUCCGACCUGCACGAAUGGCGUAAUGAUGGCCAGGCUGUCUCCACCCGAGACUCAGUGAAAUUGAACUCGCUGUGAAGAUGCAGUGUACCCGCGGCAAGACGGAAAGACCCCGUGAACCUUUACUAUAGCUUGACACUGAACAUUGAGCCUUGAUGUGUAGGAUAGGUGGGAGGCUUUGAAGUGUGGACGCCAGUCUGCAUGGAGCCGACCUUGAAAUACCACCCUUUAAUGUUUGAUGUUCUAACGUUGGCCCCUAAUCGGGGUUGCGGACAGUGUCUGGUGGGUAGUUUGACUGGGGCGGUCUCCUCCUAAAGAGUAACGGAGGAGCACGAAGGUUGGCUAAUCCUGGUCGGACAUCAGGAGGUUAGUGCAAUGGCAUAAGCCAGCUUGACUGCGAGCGUGACGGCGCGAGCAGGUGCGAAAGCAGGUCAUAGUGAUCCGGUGGUUCUGAAUGGAAGGGCCAUCGCUCAACGGAUAAAAGGUACUCCGGGGAUAACAGGCUGAUACCGCCCAAGAGUUCAUAUCGACGGCGGUGUUUGGCACCUCGAUGUCGGCUCAUCACAUCCUGGGGCUGAAGUAGGUCCCAAGGGUAUGGCUGUUCGCCAUUUAAAGUGGUACGCGAGCUGGGUUUAGAACGUCGUGAGACAGUUCGGUCCCUAUCUGCCGUGGGCGCUGGAGAACUGAGGGGGGCUGCUCCUAGUACGAGAGGACCGGAGUGGACGCAUCACUGGUGUUCGGGUUGUCAUGCCAAUGGCACUGCCCGGUAGCUAAAUGCGGAAGAGAUAAGUGCUGAAAGCAUCUAAGCACGAAACUUGCCCCGAGAUGAGUUCUCCCUGACUCCCUGAGAGUCCUGAAGGAACGUUGAAGACGACGACGUUGAUAGGCCGGGUGUGUAAGCGCAGCGAUGCGUUGAGCUAACCGGUACUAAUGAACCGUGAGGCUUAACCUU